This 468-nucleotide ribosomal RNA is filed under the name uncultured bacterium. RNAcentral's name for it is "partial 16S ribosomal RNA". It matches the Rfam family "Bacterial small subunit ribosomal RNA", at positions 28 to 507 of the family's 1533-position model. The record is from RNAcentral.
GACGAACGCUGGCGGCGUGCUUAGCACAUGCAAGUCGAACGGAAAGGCCCUGCUUGCAGGGUGCUCGAGUGGCGAACGGGUGAGUAACACGUGGGUGAUCCGCCCCUUACUUUGGGAUAAGCCUGGUAAACUGGGUCGAAUACUGGAGAGGACCGCGCUGGAGGUGGGGUGGUGGAAAGAUUGGUUUCGGUGAGGGAUGAGCUCUCGGCCGAUCAGCUUGUGGGUGGGGUAUUGUCCUACCAAGAGGUCGACGGGGAGCCGGCCUGAGAGGGUGGGCGGUGACAUAGGGACGGGGAUACGGCGCACAGUCGUACGGGGGACAGAAGUGGGGAGUAUUGCACACUGGGGGCGAGCCUGAGGCAGCGCAGCGGCGUGGGGGGUGACGGCCUUUGCGUUGUAAAAUCCGUUCGGCCAUGAGACAGACUGGGGGUGACGGUAGUGGUAGAAGAAGCACCGGCUAACUACGUG